GUCUUUUUGAAUUUAAAUUUAAAGUCUAAUCUGCCCACUGAUAAAUUAUUUAAUGGCCGCAGUAUUUUAACUGUGCAAAGGUAGCAUAAUCAUUAGUUUUUUAAUUGAAAGCUUGUAUGAAUGAUUGAACGAGAUAUAAGCUGUCUCAUAAAAAUUUUUAAUAGAAAUUAAUUUUUUAGUAAAAAAGCUAAAAUAAUUUUAAAAGACGAGAAGACCCUAUAGAUCUUUAUAAAAUAAUUUAUUUAUUUUUUUUUAGAUUUUUUAAAUAUUAAUAAAUUAUUUUAUUUUGUUGGGGUGACAUUGAAAUUUAUAAAACUUUCAAAUUUUUUAAGCCAUUAAUUUAUGAAUUGAUGAUCUUUUAUUAUUGAUUAAAAAUUUAAGUUACCUUAGGGAUAACAGCGUAAUUAUUUUGGAGAGUUCUUAUCAAUAAAAUAGAUUGCGACCUCGAUGUUGGAUUAAGAUAAAUUUUAGGUGUAGAAGCUUAAAGUAUUAAGUCUGUUCGACUUUUAAUUUCUU
RNAcentral lists this ribosomal RNA (516 nucleotides) under Teuchophorus simplex. Its description in RNAcentral is "partial 16S ribosomal RNA". The stretch from base 392 to 516 matches the Rfam family "Bacterial large subunit ribosomal RNA", at positions 2473 to 2597 of the family's 2925-position model. Lineage: Eukaryota; Metazoa; Arthropoda; Insecta; Diptera; Dolichopodidae. The record is from RNAcentral.